GCUGGGCGCAGUGGCUCACGCCUGUAAUCCCAGCAUCUUGGGAGGCUGAGACGGGAGGAUCACCUGAGAUCAGGAGUUCAAGACCAGCCUGGUCAACAUGGUGAAACCCCGUCUCUA
This is a non-coding RNA of Gorilla gorilla gorilla (western lowland gorilla), 117 nucleotides long. It matches the Rfam family "Metazoan signal recognition particle RNA". Rfam says of the family: The signal recognition particle (SRP) is a universally conserved ribonucleoprotein. The record is from Rfam. NCBI's taxonomy places the organism in Eukaryota, Metazoa, Chordata, Mammalia, Primates, Hominidae.